RNAcentral lists this ribosomal RNA (779 nucleotides) under uncultured archaeon. RNAcentral's name for it is "bacterial SSU rRNA". It matches the Rfam family "Archaeal small subunit ribosomal RNA", at positions 59 to 815 of the family's 1478-position model. The record is from RNAcentral.
UUGACGUUUCGAACUAUGGCGAAACGUAGCGGACGGCUCAGUAACACGUGGCUAACCUGCCCUUGAGACGAGUUUAAUCCCGGGAAACUGGGGCUAAUACGCGAUAGGUGAAGAUGCCUGGAAUGGUUCAUCAUCUAAAGGACGUUGAGACCAUGUUUCACAGUGUCGCUCAAGGAUGGGGCCGCGGCCGAUCAGGUAGUUGGUGGGGUAACUGCUCACCAAGCCUUUGACCGGUACGGGCCGUGAGAGCGGGAGCCCGGAGAUGGGCACUGAGAUAAGGGCCCAGGCCCUAUGGGGCGCAGCAGUUGCGAAACCUCCGCAAUGCGCGAAAGCGUGACGGGGUUACCCCAAGUGCCAUCCGCUGAGGACGGCUUUUCUUUGGUGUAAUGAGCCAAAGGAAUAAGGGGGGGGCAAGACUGGUGUCAGCCGCCGCGGUAAUACCAGCUCCCCGAGUGGUAGGGACAAUUAUUGGGCUUAAAGCGUCCGUAGCCGGCCUGACAAGUCUUUCGUUAAAUCCAGCGACUUAAUCGUUGGGCUGCGGGAGAUACUAUCGGGCUAGGGGAAGGGAGAGGCCGACGGUAUUCCCGGAGUAGGGGUGAAAUCCUAUAAUUCCGGGAGGACCACCAGUGGCGAAGGCUGUCGGCUAGAACGAGCUCGACGGUGAGGGACGAAAGCUGGGGGAGCGAACCGGAUUAGAUACCCGGGUAGUCCCAGCUGUAAACGAUGCGGGCUAGGUGUUAGGGUGGCUACGAGCCACUCUAGUGCCGCAGCGAAGGCGU